RNAcentral lists this long non-coding RNA (43000 nucleotides) under Fragaria vesca (wild strawberry). RNAcentral's name for it is "long non-coding RNA (FVES_LNC002789)". Lineage: Eukaryota; Viridiplantae; Streptophyta; Magnoliopsida; Rosales; Rosaceae. The record is from RNAcentral.
UUUUUUUUUUUGGUAGAUAAAAUUGGAGACUUUGGAACAUAUGCAAAUGAAUAAAAGCAAAUGCAGGAACCAAAAAUAAAAGAAAACAGUUGGAAGAAAAAGAGAUAAAACUCAUAUGUUCAGCAGUGCCAUCACAAAUUUCCAGAAUAGCAGUGUUAAAGUGAAAAUGCAGAACUUAUAUUCUAUAUAUAGCUCCCAGUGCUCCAACUAAUUAAUCAGAUUUUUGGAAGGUUAAUGUGAACAAAGAACAAAUUUGAAUUACAAUUGGCCAAUCCAUCUGGAUGUAUCCGUCAUAACUAAAGUUAGAAGCUUCUUUAUUGAGGCUUUAGAACACAAUGUAAAUAUGCAAUGAACUACAGGAAUGCUAAAACAAAGAAAGGAGAAAAGUAAAAAGAGAAAGAGAGCAAAAACUCACCUUGUAUUCAUUCACUGAAUCAUAGCCUAGAACAACAUCAGCCAGCUUUCCUGAAUUCACCAAAAAGAAUUCAUAAUCAGUUCAAAUAAAAAGAAAAGAACUGUGAAGCAAAACCACAACUAAUAGCUAAACAAAUGUUAAAAAACAAACCAUUUUUGUCAGGCAGGAUUAGGGAGAUGAUAGUUGCACCCCAAUUGGUGAAUUUGACAGACAAAUCACCCUUCUUGAGCUCAUAAACACCAAUCUUCUCCUUUGGUUCAUAACCAGAACCAUUAGCAAACCCAGAAGCUACUAGGAUGGUGAUGACCAAACAAAGCAGCACAGAAAUGUUGCCCAUUUUCUUAAUCAACAACAAAAGAAAGAGGCCAAAAUACACCAGAAACACUAAAGGGUACUUAUAAAAGAGAGGCAGCUGAGGGCUCCAGAGACAGAGACAAGUCAGAGGCUCAGAGCAGGCACAUUUUGUUCAUUGUGGCUAAGCUCUUAUGGUGCUUGCCGCUUGUGUAUUGUUUGACUUGGUAUAUGGCAUACAAUGUGCUAAGAUUCUUCUUACUUCAUAGUUCAAAGUGUGGCCCCGGCAAUGCCCCCACCUAAGAGAUGAUGAUACUUCAUAGUAUACGGCUCGUUUUUUAUUUAUUUUUUUUCAAAUACAACUCAUUUUUCCAAGCAUGAUGUGAGAGAUAAGAUUGAAUAAGAUGACCUUUGUCUUGACUCUAUGAUCAUUCAAAAAUAUUUGGCAUCUUAUUUGAGAGAGGUGGAUCACAGCUGAUGAUACAUCCCGUAUGCUUUAGCUCAUAUAGUCUCAUACAGAUAAAGCUGCGACAAAAUGUGAAGCAUGUCAUAUUCAUCUAUGAAAGAUUGAAAGGUAGCUAGGAUUCUCCUUUCUAGCAUGCCAUAUUGACAAAGCUAGACUAUGAUCUUAGAUUCUUAGAGGUUUCCCAGUGUUAGACUAGGUUUUCCAAUGCCUUGACAAUGUUUUGGAUGAACAAGAAAAGUAACAUUUGCAAUCAGAGGAGAGAACUUACACUAUGUUACACAUAAAUGAAAGAGCAGUAAACCCAACAGAAUAUUUUUGAGGUAAUGCAGGAAAGCUUUUACAAGUCAAACACGCCAAUUCCAAAUUUCCAAUCUUGGCUAGCUAUUUGAUAUAGACCCAACCCCAAUUUGUGAAACGACCCAUACACAAACAAAAGGAGAGAGUUCAACUAUAGCAAUAAAAGACGAUACUUCAUAUACUUUUGUCCAUCUUUCAAAUAAUGUACACGAGUUCUGACAUUCACAUAAUCCAACUAUCUAAUCUUUGCAUUUUAUUGAUUAAAGAAAAAACUUGCAUAUUUCGGAUGAACUUUCACCCAGCCUCCGAUUCCUCUUCAGCUUGUUAUCCUUUGCAUGAAAUUGAAAGAAAAACAUAACAUACAGCUAGGAAACCCAUGUUUUUGUUGAUCAGUUUUCUGCCUUUAUAGUUGUAGUUUCAGCUUUGAUGAAUAUGUAGCAUGUGUUCCUCUUGCAGCUUCUUCAACCGCAAACGUUCAACCAAGUCGAUCAAUAUCAAAUCAUGUUUAUAAUUAGGGAAAUACCUUUUCAAAAAUUUAGGGAAAUGCCGUCCCUACAUGAAAUUUCUCCAUUGAAACCUGCUAUAUAAUUUUCUUUUCUAGAUUAAUUAAUCAAUUUGUUACUUAAAUUCCUCAGUUCCUGCUAGUAAAUUAUACGGCUAAAUCCAGAUUGAAAACGAUUUAUUUGUUCCUCCAGAUACGCUUUAUACGCAGACUGACUAAUCGAUUAAUCAAACCUAAGUUUUGCAAUCACGCAUGACGAUAAAUGCGUGCAUAUAUAGACUAAUUCGUUCUGCACUGUUAUCUUCCAAAGCCGGUAACAAUAUAUAUAGUGUCUAUAUAUGAUCAUACAUAAACCACAAGCAACAUCGAUCCUCAUCUAUAUCGAUCUCUGUCCACACCACUUCGAAUAUUAUUGAAGAUGGAAGCAAAUUGAGUGAAAAAAACACAGCUCAACAAUGUCCUACGUACUGUUAAUCAAAGCUGAACUUCAUUUUGCCAUUUUGGUACGUAUAUCUGCUUCAUUUGUUUCGCACAUACUCGCCAAUUUGUCAAAAUCCUGUUUUUAAAAUCACAAUAAUAGAACACCUAGCCUAAUGGAUCACACUCGAACGCCUAUUUGACUUAGUUUCCUUGAGUCGAGCAACAUAAAAAAGAACCAAAUGGGCAUUUUCCCUAAAAAAUAACCAAAGAUUGUUCUCUCAAAUAUAGUACGUGUCUAUAUAUGAUCAUACAUAAACCACAAGCAGCAUCCUCAUCUUAUUAUCUGGAUAUAUAAUCAACCAAAUGUGACCGAUUUCUAUAAACAACAACUUUAUAUAUAUAAACAAGCAAGAUUAUUCAACUUAGAGAUCCCAUUCAACCCUAAUCCCUGUAUAUAUUGCUGACUCUUUGAGAUGAGUACUUACGCAUUUGCUGUUAGAUCCAUGGCAGCUAGGCAUUACAACAAUCUCUUUGCCCUUUCUCUAUUCACCGUUUGUCUAUUUGCUUCCGCAGCCAAUGCAGAUUAUGAUGCAAGUAUCUCUUUCUUUUCUCAUAAAGAACUCAAUUAGGGUUUGUACGUAUGCUGUAAUUAAUUAACUUGUUUCAUAUAAUCAUAUUAUGUUUUAGCAGCAUGGACAUAAUCACAAGGUAACACAGAACUGGUUGAACCACGGUGGUGAUUUGCGUAACAGAAGAUACGCCAAAUACGAAACCAAGAUCAGCCCUGAAACAGUUUCCAAACUACGCUUCAAGUGGGAGUUCAAAGCAGGCCAGGACAUAACUGUAACUCCAUCGAUUUACGACGGUACGCUUUAUUUUCCGAGCUGGAAUGGACAUCUCUACGCCCUCAAAGCUUCCGAUGGGUCUGUAGUUUGGGAAAAGAAUAUGGGAAUAUUAACCGGGCUUAAUUGGACUGGAUUUAUUACCCCUAAUUGGAUCGUGUCAAGAUCAACUCCAACCAUUGCCGGCGAUAAUGAUGAGCUUUUGAUUGUUGGAAUAUAUGGCCCUGCCGUUCUUAUUGCCCUGGAACGAUCAACUGGGAAGCUCGUGUGGUCGGUCAGGCUAGAUAGCCACGCCGCAGGUGCUAUAACCAUGUCCCCAACUUACUACAAAGGGUAAGGUGACUCUUCAUCAAUCACAAAUUAUAGUUGACCUUUCCUAAUUAUUGUUAAUUAAUUAGCUUGCUUCACAUAAUAAUGUCGUUCUAAUAUCAAUAAGGUCAAUGGUGUUGCUUUACAGGAGCAUAUACAUUGGAACGACGUCGGUAGAAGAAGGGGUUAGCCCCGAUGAAUGUUGUACUUUCCGUGGAAGCUUUUCCAAAUUAGACGUCAAAACCGGUGCCGUUUUAUGGCAAACUUACAUGCUGCCGGAUAAUCACGGAAAGUUGGGACAGUAUUCCGGCGCGGCGAUAUGGGGAAGUAGUCCAUCCAUCGACGUCCAUAGAAGGCAUGUAUAUAUCGCUACCGGGAACACGUACUCGGUCCCCGAAUAUAUAAGCCAAUGCCAAGAGAACCAGUUAAAUACUACUAAUUCAAGCGUACCUACUCAUUCAGAUGCGUGUGUUGAGCCUGUUAAUCAUGGCAACUCCAUCCUAGCUCUUGAUAUGGAUACUGGCGAAAUCCAAUGGUACCGUCAGCUGGGUGGCUACGAUGUAUGGUUUCUAGAGUGCUUCCUUAAUACUUCGGUGUGCCCUAUUGGACCGAACGUCGAUGCCGAUUUUGGGGAAGCACCGAUGAUGCUUAGACCAUAUAUCAAUGAAACCAAGCGAGAUAUAGUUGUUGCUGUCCAGAAAAGUGGGUUUGCUUGGGCUCUUGAUCGGAAUAAUGGUAGCCUUGUUUGGUCAACUGUAAGUUUAAGUGCUCUUGCCUUCUACCAUAUAAAUGUCUAAACCCUAAACCCUAAAUGAACCAUCAGAAUUGCUAUUUGUAGGAAGUUGGUCCUGGUGGGAUUCUAGGAGGAGGAUCAUGGGGAGCAGCUACAGACAAGAAAAGGGUGUACACCAACAUAAUCAACAACGGAGGCAAAAACUUCACUCUAAAACCAUCUAACAACGUCACAACUUCCGGUGGAUGGGCUGCAAUGGAUCCCCGGAGUGGAGAGGUCCUGUGGUCGACGGCUAAUCCCAGCAAUGCAUUUUCUGCCGGACCGGUCAGCGUCGCCAAUGGAGUCUUAUUUGGCGGAUCCACAGAUGCAAAUGGAACUGUAUACGCAAUGAACACCCGAACUGGUGAAAUCCUGUGGUCGUAUGAAACCGGAGCAACCGUGUACGGUGGCAUGUCGAUAAGCAAUGGGUGCAUAUACGUUGGCAGUGGAUAUAAAGUUGGUUUUGGAGCUACAAUGCCAAUGUUUACGGCCGGGACCUCCCUAUUUGCCUUCUGUGUCACAUGAAUUACCUCGAUGUAAAUAAUGUUAUCAAUAUAAACAUAAUAAGGUAAAUAUGUUCGCGCUUAAUUAAGGUGAGGUGCGUGCAAAAUCAUAUUUACUUUUAACCCAUAUAGAGGGAAAUGUCAUCUAGCUAGCCAGCUUCAGUGUAUAAUCGUAUGAACAUGCAAUAUCAGACGAGACAUAAGUUUUCUCGCUUAUUGAAGACGAUAAAUUAGGCUGGAUUGACUAAAAGCAAUUGAUUAAGUCUCUUUCAUUUGGGAUUUUAGAAAUGAACCUUGAUGUGACAUUCAUGCCUACCCUAUAUUGGCUAUAUAACAUAAUUUGAUUUCAAGAGUACUAUCUUCAAUGUCUGUAUAUAUUAUAUAUAUAACACCAAACAUAUAACACCAAACUUAUUUAUUAUUGUUCAUCAUGAUCUUAACAUGUACCUGAUUUGAGGACUAGCUAGCUCGUUUAUUAUUUAGAGCAAAUUUAACAGACUCUAUUUUAGCUUUUAGCUAUUUUAGAAGGCGUGUUUAGUUUUUUUUAUAUUUUCGGAGCUCCAGCAGACUAGCCAAAGUUUAACUAUUAUGACUUUUAGCUAUUUUGCUAGCUAAAUAUAAAGAGAGAGAUGACUCAGAUGGGGCUAGCUAUAAUUUAAUACAUUCCUUUAAGAUAUUUUACGUGAUAUAUAAAUAUAUUUAAACUAUUUAAUGUUUAUUUGAAGAAUAAUGUUGAUGUAAUGCUAGAUAAAAUAGAGAACAUUGAUGCAGCCGUGUUUUUAAAGUGGUUAGCCAAAAUGACAUUUUAGCUGAUUUGAUUAAAAUUUAACUUUAAAAUGGCUAGCAUUGCUAAAGAUGCUCUUACCAAACGAAUAAAGAACUCUAGCUAGUUUUCAGCUCAAAAGAUUUAAAGGAGCCACUGCUUCCUUAUUUUAUCCAUUUCUUCCAACAAAAAUAGAAAUAGAAAUCUUACUAAUUAAGGAACGAAGUCAAUGAACAAAACUAGCUUUAAAUAAGAAAAGCCAAUUAUGUUAUACCCAAAUGAAAAAGAAAUCAAAUUGAUAAUUUCCAUACAAUUAAUACCGUAUCCAUUGGUCCUUAAUUUUUAUAUAUAUAUAGAGAAAUUAUCAAAAAUGACCAUAUUUUAGUGCUCAAGAUGAUUUUUGACCAUGUUUUCUUAAACCGUUGAAAAAUGACCACAUGAUGAAAGGAAAUGUCACACUUACCCUUGAUGUAAAUCUCUUAAAUCAGUUUUUCGUCAGGAAGAAAAACUGAUAAGAGAUUUUAUAUCAAGGGCAAGUCUGACAUUUCCCUUCAUCAUGUGGUCAUUUUUCAACGGUUUAAGAAAACAUGGUCAAAAAUCAUCUUGAGCACUAAAAUAUGGUCAUUUUUGAUAAUUUCUAUAUAUAUAUAUAUAUAGCUAGUUGCAUAAUGCCUAUAAAUAUACAAAUUGAUAAAUAUACCUCUCUCUAUACAUAUGUAGUAUAGCCUACAUUGCAAUUUACAUGGCAGCUUUAAGAUUCUACCACUAUCUUUUAGUCCCUUCUCUAUUUUCCUUGUGUCUACUACUUACUCUCAACCCCACUGCCGCAGAUACAAAUGGUUAUAUCACAACACAGAACUGGGAAAACCACGGUGGAGAUAUGUUCAACAGAAGAUACGCCUUCAAGGAGACCAAGAUCAGCCCCGAAACGGUUUCUAAACUCCGCCUGAAGUGGAAGUUUUACGCAGGGGAUCAUAUAACUGCAACGCCGGCAAUUUAUGACAACAGCCUCUACUUUCCGAGCUGGAAUGGCUACAUCUACGCCGUUAGGGCUUCCGAUGGGUCACUCAUUUGGAAGAAGAACUUGCUAGCGUUGACCGGCCUUAACACGACUGGCUUUGUCCAAGCCGUCAACACCACAAUAUCAAGAUCAACUCCGACGAUUGCUGGUGAUCGUGGUGACCUCCUAAUCUUUGGACUCUAUGCACCUGCGGUUGUUGUUGCCGUUGAACGCUCAACUGGGAGGCUCAUUUGGUCAACAUUUCUUGAUAGACAUCCUGCAAGUCUUAUUACCAUGUCCGGAACUUACUACAAAGGGUUGGUAUAAUUUUCAAAUUUUACUUGCUCAAAACAAAUGGCAUGUCCAAACUCUUCAACACUUUUUGCAUUGUUCUGUAUGCUGAAGUACUUAUCUUCAAAAUCACAUUUUAGAGAUCAUUUCUAUAAAACAAUGGAUUCUUGAAGUGUUUAGUCCAAUUAUAACGAAAUAGAUAAUGGUUGGUCAUAAAAAAUUAAUCUAACUAUUAUCAAGAUCAUUUAUUUCUUUGCUGCAGUAAAACUACAUACCAAUAAGCUAUAUCGUAUUUCAGUGACUAUCAAAAAUUGAUUUUAAAACAGGGAAUCGAAUAAUUUGAUCAUGACAUAACGUUGCGGAGUCAAAAAACUACCAAACAAUAAUUGGUAGGGAUAUCAAAAUUGAUUUCGAUCCAAAUAUUGUAUUGAAAUGUUGCUGACGAAGGAUCGGAUCAAACAUCUACAGUUUUUCAAAUUAUAUCAUUCCAUACUAUUACUUAAAUAUGGUUGGAAUGCGACGUUUUCUGAGUACAAUCACAAGAAAGAAAAUGAUAGAAAUAUUGUGAUAACUGAUCUGUUACGUUCAUAUAUGCACUCAAAUUUACGCAGGAGUAUUUAUAUUGGAACGUCAUCGCUAGAGGAAACUGUCAGCGUUGAGAAAUGUUGUACCUUCCGGGGCAGCAUUGCCAAAUUAGACGUUAAAACCGGCUUCAUCUUAUGGCAGACCUUCAUGUUGCCGGACAAUCAUGGAAACUUGGGACAGUAUUCCGGAGCAGCAAUAUGGGGAAGUAGUCCAUCAAUUGAUGUCCUCAGAAAACAUGUCUAUAUUGCUACCGGAAAUACGUAUUCGGUCCCGGAAAAUGUGAGUCAAUGUCAAGAAAAUCAGAACAAUUCAACCGUCCCUACUCGUUCCUAUGCCUGCGUCGAGCCUCAAAACCAUGGCAAUUCAAUCCUGGCACUUGAUUUGGACUCUGGUAAUAUCAAAUGGUACCGGCAGUUGGGUGGCUAUGAUGUAUGGUUUAAGCAGUGUCAGCUUAAUGCUUCGACUUGCCCUCCUGGACCUAAUGUGGAUGCUGAUUUUGGGGAAGCACCUAUGAUGCUUAGUGCACAAGUCAAUGGGAGCUGGCUAGAUAUAGUUGUUGCCGUUCAGAAAAGUGGGUUUGCAUGGGCUCUAAAUCGGAAUAAUGGCCGUCUUGUGUGGUCUACGGUAUGUGACCUUAAUUUACUAAAGUACUAACUAAAAAUUAAUUAAUUAUAGGGGAUACGUAACAUGUUAUGUUAUUAAAUUAUUAAUUAACGACACAAUCGAUAUAGGAAGCUGGGCCUGGUGGCACUGCUGGAGGAGGAACAUGGGGAGCAGCUACUGAUGAGAGAAGGGUGUACACGAACAUUGCUAAUUCUGGUGCCAAUAACUUCACUCUCAAGCCAUCUAGCAAGAUAACAACUUCCGGUGGAUGGGUGGCAAUGGACCCUUGCAGUGGCAAAAUCCUAUGGUCAACGGCAAAUCCCAGAAAUGCAACUGCGUCUGGACCAGUUAGUGUGGCUAAUGGUGUCCUGUUUGGCGGAUCCACAAACCCGCAAGGAAAUAUAUACGCAAUGGACGCCAAAACUGGCAAAAUCUUGUGGUCCUAUGUCACCGGAGCAACCGUGUUUGGUGGCAUGUCUAUAAGCAAUGGCUGCGUUUACAUGGGCAAUGGAUAUAAAUUCCCCUAUACUGCUGGAACCUCGCUGUUCGCCUUCUGUGUCUCAUAAGCAACUCUAAAGCAUCUGCAGAUUACAACAUAGACGUAAAACCAACUGAAUAAACUUCGAUUACUAUAUAUGUAAAAUGAAGUAUUUUAGCAUUCACCAACUCGAAUGGCUACUUGUUGAUGUAAUGCAGCUCUACAUGUAUGACGUAUCUUAUGUCUAGAAGAAGUAUAAUUACUAAUAUAAUAUAAUCUCGUGACUGAUAAUUGUAAUGCAUCAAUAUAGUAUAACAGCAAAACUAUACUUGUAUAAAUACGCAGGAUAAGUCCAACCAUCCAGUGUAACCAGUUUGAGCCUUCACUGGAAUGGCGCCUCUAGGAUUCUGCAGUCCUACUUCUAUCCUUUCUCUAUGUAUGUUCUGUAUAGCUAUGGCACCAAGCUCAGGUUUCAAUAUUGUAAGCCUCUCUAUCACCCUUUCAUUAAUUUGUUCAUUACCUGCUGGUUUGUUCACAAAUUGUUAAUUGACUUGGUUGUUUUCAGUGGCCUUCUGCAGAGAAAUACAAGCCUAGUACUCUAGAUUGGCCAAACCAUGGAGGCGACUUGUAUAACAGAAGAUAUGCUAACACGGAGAAGAAGAUAAGCCCUGCAACAGUUUCCAAUCUCAGUGUGAAGUGGAAAUUCUCUGUGGGAGGUGACAUAACUGUAACACCAGCCAUUGCUGAUGGCAUUCUCUACUUCCCAAGCUGGAAUGGAUAUCUUUACGCUGUUAAACAAUCUGAUGGAUCUCUCGUCUGGAAGAAGAAUGUGCAAGAGUUGACAGGCUUCAAUAACACUGGUUUCAUUCUCAAUGUCAACUCCACAGUGACAAGAUCAACCCCAACAAUCGCCGGUGACCUGCUCAUUUGUGGAAUCUAUGGUCCUGCUUUCGUCAUUGCUGUUAAAAGGUCCAAUGGGAAGCUCGUCUGGUCUACCAGGGUUGAUAACCAUACCAGAGCCUUUGUCACCAUGUCUGGAACCUAUUACAAAGGGUUAGUCAUCAACUUCUCAGUUAGGUUUUGCACUUUUGAUUCUUAGUUUCAACUUUGGGAUCAGAAAUUUUUUGAAAGUAUGGUUUAAAUGUUCAACCCUGUAGCUUAUGCAGUGCUAGUAUACUCAUCAGUAAGUCAAUGGUGUUGCUUCAAAACAAGUUUAAGUUAGGAACAAGAUAAGGAACACCAUGUGGUUCAAGGCUACUUAUUCCUGCUUCUGUAGAAUUAUGAGAAUCUUUUAUGGCAACUUGAUAUAUUAAGUAAUUAAUCAAUAAUCUGCCAAAUAGCUUGCUGUAAACCAUGCUUUCGAUUAAUUAUAUUGUAGUUUCUGUAUACUGUCAACAUAGGUGUUAGACUUUUGUGAAACUCAACAUACAGGCCAGGUCUUUGUUUCAUUAUAUGACAAUGUUUAGAUCCUUUCUAGACACCAGAUUUGUUUUGUGUGAAAACUGAAGAAGUUUAUACUACUCUUACUGCAUAUACAUAUCACAUGUCUAUUUCAUGCUAAUAGUACUGCAUUUAUAAUGGUAUGAUUGACACACAAUCAGUUGAGGCACCAAAUUACAAUUCGUAUAGAAUCUAACUACUGUAUGUACCUUUUGAAAGGGGAUAUUAUGUUGGAACAUCGUCGCUAGAAGAAGGCCUGACAAUCGAUCUGUGCUGCACAUUUCGUGGGAGCUUUCUUAAAUUAGAUGUCAGAACAGGAGCAAUCUUGUGGCAGACCUACAUGCUACCAGACAACUUUGGCAAGUUUGGGGAGUAUGCUGGUGCAGCAAUCUGGGGAAGUAGUCCUUCUAUUGAUGUGAAGCGUAACCUUGUCUACAUUGCCACUUCCAACCUGUAUUCAGCUCCUUCGCAUAUAAUUGAAUGCCAGGAGAGGGAAAACAAUCAAACCAUACCUUCACAGCCAGAUGCCUGCAUUGAGCCUGACAACCACUCCGAGUCUAUUGUAGCUCUUGAUUUAGACACUGGCAAAAUCAAAUGGUACAAGCAGCUAGGAGGCUAUGAUUUAUGGUUUGGUGCAUGCCAUCGACAUUUGGACCCAAGGUGCCCACCCGGUCCAAGUCCAGACGCAGAUUUUGGAGAAGCACCAAUGAUGAUUACCACAAAAAUUAAUGGGACUAAGAAAGACAUUGUAGUUGCUGUUCAGAAAAGUGGGUUUGCAUGGGCUCUAGAUCGAGAUACUGGUAGCAUAGUGUGGUCUACGGUUAGUUUCCUAGUUGAACUAUUGGAUUAACUGAAAUUGGCCUUAUUUCUAUAUGAAUUACUAAACGUGUAAUGCUUUGAUACACAGGAAGCUGGACCAGGAGGUCUAGGAGGAGGAGCCAUGUGGGGUGCAGCCACUGAUGAAAAGAGGGUCUAUACUAACAUUGCCAAUAGCCAACAUAAGAACUUCACCCUAAAACCAUCUCAGAACACUACAAUUGCUGGUGGAUGGGUAGCAAUGGAGGCGCGCAGCGGCAAUAUCUUAUGGUCCACGGCCAAUGCUAAUGAUGCUACCUCCCCGGCUGCAGUUACUGUGGCUAAUGGUGUUGUUUUUGGUGGCUCUACUUACAAAGAAGGACCAAUAUAUGCAAUGAAUGCCAAGACAGGAAAGAUUUUGUGGUCGUAUGAUACAGGAGCAACUGUGUAUGGGGGGAUAUCGGUAAGCAACGGAUGCAUCUACCUCGGAAAUGGUUACAAGGUCUUUAAUGGAUUUGUUAACCCAAAUUACACAGCUGGAACCUCGUUCUAUGCCUUCUGUGUUUAACAACAACAAAUAUCCCCUCAGUGCAACAUGUAUCUUUUCUCUUAGAUAAAUGAUCUACUACUAAUGAGAAUAGUAAAUCUUCUGAAGUUCCUAAUACCACAAGUCUGAUAUCACAGAAAAAAAUAGCGUCCAAUAUCACAUAUCAUUUAUAAUGGUUUGAUCGAUACCUCAAAUAUAGCUUCACCAGAAUUGACAUCCUGGUAAAUGGAAGAAGGAUUAGAAAAAUGCAAGUGUGGAAAGCUACCAGAUUCAACUUGCUGCUGGGAAAAACGUAAUGCUAUCACAACACAAGAACUAAGCAUGCUGAAAGUGCAUCAACAAAAUUGAACUCUGGCGCUCAAAUAAGCAAAAGGUUCACCAUUUGGAGAAUGGCUAAACGAAGUAUGAUAAGAAAUAAUUUGCACAACAAAGAAUCCAGCAAUUCUCAUAUGCAGAUUACUGUAAUGCUCAUAUUUCGAGACCACAAUAAUUAGAGAUCCCCUGAAUGCAGAAUGAAAUUUAGGUCUUCUGCUGCCCAAAUGCCCACUAAGAAAUGCUAGCGGCACAGCACCAUUGGGGGUUAUGAUGCCUUUUGUGAUCACCAAUUUGUAGUGAUCAUACAAAUCCAUACAUAUCAUUGAUUAAAGAACAAAAAUUCAUGUACUAUAUUGAACAAAGUACCUUGCCAGAAAGAAACCCAUGCAGAUUCUUGAAGCCAAGUAAACCAUAAUAGAUUCUUGAAACAGAAAAAGAAACACCCAAAUUAGAAAAUGCAUGUAUGAUCAAAAUCAACAACAUAUACUAAAGUAUCAACAGAGCUUGACUGUAACUGAACCGUUUUUACAUGCAAUGCAAUAGACACACUAUAAAUCAAGAUCAAACAACAAUUUAAAGAGAACACCUUUUUCUUCAUUCUUCAAUUGAACUUGGCACUUGGCAGAGAGCUUUACCUAUCAACUAGUUGAACCAAAAAGAACAGCUUUCAGAAUCGGGUUCGGGGGCCAUCAAGAAUAAACAACUGGACUGUACAGCCCAAACCAAAACGACGACGUCUAAAUUGUAAUCAUCUCCGUCAAAAAAGAAAUCAACUGGACAUGAAAAAGUAGUUUGGAGCGGAGAAUGGUUUGAGUAGGUAAGAAGCAGUAAUGUAAUGGGGAGCCUUCAGAACUUCCGUCUUAAGUCGGAGGAAGAUAAACCAGUCUUCGUUACAUAUAUGGAGUCCAUAUUUCAAGAGGAGUCCCAUCCCAUUCAAGCUAAGAUUUCAAAUACCCUUUGAAAUUACAAAUAUCAUAUAUACAUGUUUCUUCUUGAUUGUAGGUACUUACAUAUGCCGUGAUAAUGAAGAUGUUGAGCAGACGUUGGAGCUUUUCAAGAAAGUUGAUAUGGUGUCGUGAUUUGAUACGCCGCAAGUUCUACACUGGAAAACGAUACAACUCGGAAGAAGGAGGUUGGAUCGAGCAACUCCCAGAUGACGUCAUGCAACUGAUUCUGCAGCGACUGCCCCUGUCGGAUUAUCUGAACUGUCGUGACGUAAGCCGUUGUUGGCGAGCCGCAAUUAACAACAAGCGUUGGCUUCCUGCGCCUCAUCAACUCCCAUGGCUUGUGGUCUCUUCUUGUAUAGGAAGAGACAUGCUCGCAUCCUACAUCAAAAUAGAUGACGACGACGACUUGCGUAUUAAUGUAAGCCAUCAGAAAACUUGGAAAGUAAAAACCGAUCCUCCCGCAGAUUGUUAUUGUGCUGGAUCAGUUGAGGGAUGGCUGAUCAUAACCACUAGUAGAUCAUAUGUUGAGAGGUUCUUCUUCUGGAAUCCAGUAUCAGGUGCUCGAGUUAUGCUCCCAACACAUCAUUCCAGCCUCGGCAGGUUCCCGAAAGUAAAAGUGGUAGCCUCUUCAGUACCAACGACAACAGAGUGUUAUGUGAGUUGCCUUCACUUCAGACAAGAAGGUUGUUUGGCCUUUUGCACGCCCACUGAUAGAUCAUGGACCUUGAUUAAGGCAGAGAAAGCUCUUGAAUUUUGGGAGAUAGAAAUACUUGAUGGGAAAUUAUAUGCGCUAGGUAGAGAAGCAUUAGAGUAUGUGAUGGUGUUUGACAUCCAUUUAGACACACAUGCCUACACAUCACAAAGGUUGGUUACUCUUCACCCCAACAUUAACAGCAUAGUUGAUGGCGGAACCUACCACCGGACAUGUUACUUGGCAAAAUGUUGUGAAUCAAAGGACCUGUUUAUGGUUUUGUGGCAUGAUCGUCCGUACUACCAAAGAUCAUUUCAAGUGUUAAAGUUAGAGAAUAAUAAUAAGUGGGUAGAGAUUGAUGACCUUGGUGAUCAGGCAUUGUUUAUGGCCACGCUCAACAACAAAUUUAUCACUUGUCAUGAUAAAACACUUGAAAGAAACUGUAUCUAUUUUGUUUUACGGAAAAGAUAUGAUUAUGCACUCAACUUUGGGGUGUUUUCCUUGACAGAUAGGAGCUUCAAAACCAUGACUUCUCUCCGGCAUCAUCAUCGAUCUUUUGUGGGCGAUACAACCUAGUGCUUGGUUCACACCGAAUCCUUACUAGCUAGCUAGCUUUUAUGUAAGAAUCUAGUCUUCUUUAAAUUUUUUGUGUUGGUAAUAUUAGUGGCUCAAACUCUUCAGUAGUUCAGUACUCUUUUGAAGACAAGAGAAGCAAGAAAACAAACAAGGAAGAAUGAGAAUAAAUAUCCCCUCGGUGCAAUAUGUAUCUUUUCUCUUAGAUAUAUGAUCUACUAAUACCGAGAACAAAGAAUCUUCAGAAGUUCCUAAUACGGUAAUACACAAGGUGCACAGUGUUUGACAUCACAGAAAUAAAAGCAUUAUCCAAUAUAAGCAUUAUCAAAGAAGGUCUAUACUAACAUUGCCAACAGCCAACAUAAGAACUUCACCCUAAAACCAUCCCAGAACACUACAAUUGCUGGUGGAUGGGUAGCAAUGGAGGCGCGCAGCGGCAAUAUCUUAUGGUCCACGGCCAAUAUUGCUAAUGAUGCUACCUCCCCGGCUGCAGCUACUGUGGCAAAUGGUGUUGUUUUUGGUGGCUCUACUUACAAAGAAGGACCAAUAGAUGCAAUGAAUGCCAAGACAGGAAAGAUUUUGUGGUCGUAUGAUACAGGAGCAACUGUGUAUGGGGGGAUAUCGGUAAGCAACGGAUACAUCUACCUUGGAAAUGGUUACAAGGUCUUUAAUGGAUUUGUUAACCCGAAUUACACUGCAGGAACCUCGUUUUAUGCCUUCUGUGUUUAACAACUACAAAUAUCCCCUGGGGCCUCGGUGCAAUAUGUAUCCUUUCUCUUAGAUAAAUGAUCUGCUAAUAAUGAGAAUAGUAAAUGUUCUGAAGUUAAAAAAUAUACAAGUUAUAAUUAUAAAGAUGGGAAUAAUUAUAAAGAUGUAAAGGGGAUACAGAACUUGAUUUAAAUGUAUAGGCUAUAGUUUUGUGAUAACAACCUAUGCAUUAUUGAUAACAUUUUUCUCAUAUUACUUUCAUUUCACAAAACAGAAAAUGUAUAGAGAGCUCUGAGAAUAAUUAUAAAGAUGGGAUAAUUUCAUAACUUACUUCCAAGAAGGCUGCAUUUGCAGGAUCAUCCACCCUCCGGAUCAGUGGACCAUCAACCAUGACACAGGCAAAACAGCUACAAGCUUACAACAUUAUCAAAUUUGCCAGGACCUAAAACUCAUCAUCACCAGCACCAGGAAACAUAUAAGGCACAACAAAUUCAAGUAACAUAUACAAAAAAUGAAAAAUGUCCAAAACAAGAAUAAAACCAAAACUUAGAAGCAACAAACUAAUAACUUAAACUAGAACAUACAAAAUGCAAUUCGAAACUUAAUUAAGCACAGACGCUCCAAACUUGCUAACACCAAAUCAGUUCUCAUUCCCACAUCACUAACAUACAUUCAUCAAUGGAUAUGCAAUGUGCUGUUUAUAUAAUAUAAUACUCAACAUUUUUAACCCAAUUUUUCACAAAACAACUCGGAAACUAAACCAAUAUACAGUAGCCAUACCAUACCUGCAAUCGAUGACUCUAACAACCUUCCGACUCAGAAAUUAAACCUCAUCUCUCUCUCCCUCCUCAGUCCUCACAGUCCACAGACGCAAAACAAAGAGGGAAACAAUGGCUUAUCAUGUAUCUGUAAAUGUUAUCUUGAUUUAUAGGUUAUAGUUUUGUGAUACACAACUUGAUGUAAAGGGGAACCUUCUGCCUACAGGACUUCCGUCUUAAGUCGGAAGACAAACUAGUUUUCGUUACAUAUAUGGAGUCCAGAUUUCAAGAGGAGUCCCAUCCCGCGAGCUAUUCAAACGUCUUAACGUACCCUUUGUAAUUACACAUACAUAUAUUGAUACACACACACACACACGUACACACGUUUCUUCUUGAUUGUACUUGCAUGCCGUGAAGAUGAAGAUGUUGACCAGACGGAGUUUUUCAAGAAAGUUGAUAUGGUGUCGUGAUUUGAUCCGCUGCAAGUUCUUCACUAGAAAACGAUACGAGUUAGAAGACGAAGGAGAAGGAGGAGGUUGGUUCGAGCAACUCCCAGAUGACAUCAUGCAACUGAUUCUGCAGCGACUGCCCCUGUCGGAUUAUCUGAAUUGUCGUGAGGUAAGCCGUAGUUGGCGAGCCGCAAUUGACAGCAAGCUUUGGCUUCCUGCUGCUCAUCCUCAACUCCCAAGGCUUGUGACCAGUUCUAGACUAGGAAGCGACAUGCUUGCAUCCUACAUCAAAAAAGAUGAUGAUAACUACUUGCGUAUUGUAAGCCAUCCGAAAAUUUGGAAAAUAAAAACCGAUCCUCCCGCAAAUUGUUAUUGUGCUGGAUCAGUUGAGGGAUGGCUGAUCAUAACCACUAGUAGAUCAUAUGUUGAGAGGUUCUUCUUCUGGAAUCCAGUAUCAGGUGCUCGAGUUAAGCUCCCAACACAUCAUCCCAGCCGCGGCAGUUUCCCGGAAGUAAAAGUAGUAGCCUCUUCAGUACCAACGACAACAGAGUGUUAUGUGAGUUGCCUUCACUUCAGACAAGAAGGUUGUUUGGCCUUUUGCACGCCCACUGAUAGAUCAUGGACCUUGAUUAAGGCAGAGAAAGCUCUUGAAUUUUGGGAGAUAGAAAUACUUGAUGGGAAAUUAUAUGCGCUAGGUAGAGAAGCAUUAGAGUAUGUGAUGGUGUUUGACAUCCAUUUAGACACACAUGCCUACACAUCACAAAGGUUGGUUACUCUUCACCCCAACAUUAACAGCAUAGUUGAUGGCGGAACCUACUACCGGACAUGUUACUUGGCAAAAUGUUGUGAAUCAAAGGACCUGUUUAUGGUUUUGUGGCAUGAUGGUCUAUGUCGUCCGAACUACCAAAGAUCAUUGCAAGUGUUAAAGUUAGCGGACAAUAAUAAGUGGGUAGAGAUUAAUGACCUUGGUGAUCGGGCAUUGUUUAUGGCCACGCUCAACAACAAAUUUAUCACUUGUCAUGAUAAAACACUUGAAAGAAACUGUAUCUAUUUUGUUUUACGGAAAAGAUAUGAUUAUGCACACAACUUUGGGGUGUUUUCCUUGACAGAUAGGAGCUUCAAAACUAUGACUUCUCUAGCAUCAAAAAAAAAACUGUGACUUCUCUCCGGCAUUAUCCUCGUCUUUUGUGGGCGAUACAACCUAGUGCUUGGUUCACACCAAAUCCUUACUAGCUAGCUAGCUUUCAUGUAAGAAUUUGGUCUUCUUUAAAUUUUUUGUGUUGGUAAUAUUAGUGUCUCAAACUCUUCAGUACUCUUUUGAAGACAAGAGAAGCAAGAAAACAAACAAGGAAGAAUGAGAAUGAAUAUCCCCUCGGUGCAAUAUGUAUAUUUUCUCUUAGAUAUAUGAUCUACUAAUACUGAGAACAAAGAAUCUUCAGAAGUUCCUAAUACGGUAAUACCACAACUCCACAAGGUGCACAGUGUUUGACAUCACAGAAAUAAAAGCAUUAUCCAAUAUAAUAUAUAGCUAUCAUAUUCAUUUCCAGUGGUUUCAUACCUCAAAUAGCUUCACUAGAAAUGAUAUCCUGGUAAAUGAAAGAGAAAUAGAACAAUGCAAUUGGAAAAGCUACCGUCUUCAAAGUGCAGGAGAAAAUGCAAUGCUAUGACAAGAACUAAGCACACGGAAUAAACAACAUCGAAAGCGCUUUGCAGAUCAAUAAAAGCAAACCAAUAGAGAAUGGCUAAACGAAGCAUAAUAAGAAAUGCUGAGAUGAGUCACAGUUGCAAUGAUGACUGUGACUUACAAUCCGCUCAAUCCCCUAUAUUUUGCACAAACAAAGGAUCAAGCAAUUCUCAUAUUCGGAUUACUAUUAUCCAUACAUUCAACACCAUGAUACAACUACUUUUGGGUUAUGCGGAAAAAUAAACUGUAGAAUGGAAUCGGAAAACUCACAACCACAAAUGUAAAAUAUGGUGGAAAGAAGAUGAUAAAGAACACCAGGAAUUAACGUGGUUCGGCAAAGUGUCUACAUCCACGGGGAAAUAACAACAAAGAAUCUCCACUAUACGAAUAAAGGUUACAGCAAGAGAAACACUACUUCAAAACUCACACUUUGAAAGGAUACACUCUUACACUCACUUUGUUUUCCUACACACACAAACUCUCGACUUGGAGUUUUCUCUCUAUCUCACACUCUUGUAUAACACAAGAUAAACUCACCGGUACACCAAUUGCACCAUUGCUCAUGCCUUUAUAUAGGCAAACUUCUUCACGCAUUUCCCAUGCAAAUCCUUCACGUCCAUGCACAAGGAAGAGAAUUCAAACUUCUUUCUUAAUUCAAGCUUCAAUGUUUGUAUGCACCAUCAAUGCAUCUCCAUUCUUUUUGUUAAACAUUUCAGCCACCCACAAGCCUAUACAUAUAGGCUCUCUCUUGCAUUUCAACAUAUACACACCACCAACUUUGCUAUUCAUAUAGCAUCUUGCCUCUUGGUUAAUUGAAUGGGUCUUGAGGCUUCACCGAAAGGAUUUUCACAUGUAGUAAACCGUAUGACAUCCUCCUCCAAAUAAGGAGGGAAAUUUGACCCAUCAGCUACGUUUCCGACACGUUCCCGGCUGUUUUCGAAGUAUUUCUGGCGUUUCCGGAAACAGAUUCUUAAUCUACAAGGAAACUGGGUACGCAUUGGUAUGGCCUAAAACAGUGGUAAACGGCAGAAAGGUUGCGGAAACUGCCGCAAACUUAUCCGUAAAUAGGUCGGGUAUCCAGGAAUAAUAAUGACUUUUCGUCCCUUCAGUGCAAAAUCAAAAAGUCCAGCCCAAAUCAAAACGACGGCGUUUAAAACAUCUCCAUCCAAAACAGAAAUGAAUAAAGCUUCCGCCGUAGUCUCAGUUCUCGUUAAACCCCGAGAUGGGUUUUCUGAGCAGAGCCUCUAAAACUCUGAAACCACCAAAGAACCUUUCUUUACUCCAAACCCACUUAAACCCUUUAUCUUCUUCUUCUUCUUCUCAUUUACGACGCAACCCAAUUGGCUCUGGCUUCAGAUUCAGCCAAACUUUUUGCUCCCAUUCAAAACAGAACAGCAAAGACGCCGUGGAUUUGAGCCAGUUCCCAACUGAGAGGAUCAGAAACUUCUCCAUCAUCGCCCAUGUCGAUCACGGCAAGUCUACUCUCGCUGAUAGGCUCCUGGAGCUCACUGGGACCAUUAAGAGAGGCCAUGGUCAGCCUCAGUACCUUGACAAGUUGCAGGUAUAUGAAACUUUGAUCAUUGUUUUCUGAUGUUUAGAGGAAGAAAGGUUGUUGCUUUGUUAAUGGGUUUGGUUUUCUUAGCUGAAUAGUGUUGUGUUUUUGGUGAUAAUCUAUGCAUAAAGUUUAUGACUUGAAGAUAUGCCGUUUUGUUAGUGUGGUUUACUUGGUAUAUUAAGAUUUUGAUGUGCUUAGAAUGGUUUAGGAAUGAAGUUGUUGUAUUAUGAAGAAAUGGAAAAUGUAGUUGUGUUUUGUAUGCGGAUUUUGAUUUGGGUUGUUGUAGGUGGAGAGAGAAAGGGGGAUUACUGUAAAGGCGCAGACAGCUACCAUGUUCCACAAGCACAAUUUUCAUGGUGGGGAUAAGGUUGGAGGCAGUGGAGAACCGAGUUUUCUACUGAAUCUGAUUGACACGCCGGGACAUGUGGACUUUAGCUAUGAGGUAUCGAGAUCACUGGCCGCUUGCCAAGGUGCGCUUUUGGUUGUUGAUGCAGCUCAGGGUGUUCAAGCGCAAACUGUGGCAAACUUUUAUCUUGCGUUCGAGUCUAACUUGGCGAUAAUACCUGUCAUCAACAAGAUUGACCAGCCGACUGCUGAUCCUGAACGUGUCAAAGCUCAACUUAAAUCAAUGUUUGAUCUGGACGCAAGUGAUGCUCUUUUAACAUCUGCGAAAACAGGACAGGGUCUUGAGCAUGUCCUUCCCGCAGUCAUAGAACGCAUACCACCUCCUCCUGGGAAGAGUGAUUUGCCUUUGCGGAUGCUUUUGUUGGAUUCAUACUAUGAUGAAUAUAAAGGAGUUAUAUGCCAUGUUGCUGUAGUUGAUGGGAUGCUGCGCAAGGGGGACAAAAUUGCAUCUGCCGCAACUGGCCAAGCUUAUGACAUUUUGGAUGUUGGAAUCAUGCACCCAGAGCUUACUUCCACAGGAGUCCUUCAUACUGGACAAGUUGGGUAUGUUGUGAGUGGCAUGCGUUCGACCAAAGAGGCACGUAUUGGGGACACACUUCAUCAUAAUAAAACCAUCGUCCAGCCCCUGUCAGGUACUUAUAUAUCUAUAUAUAAUUUGUGGUUAAGAUAUUCUAUCAUCCAGCUCCUGAUGGUCUUCAAAUUGUAGGGUUCAAGCCUGCAAAACAUAUGGUGUUUUCUGGUCUUUACCCUGCUGAUGGAUCUGAUUUUGAGGCACUUAACCAUGCAAUCGAGAGACUGACCUGCAACGAUGCUAGUGUCUCUGUUACUAGAGAGAGUAGCACGGCACUAGGUCUGGGUUUUAGGUAUGUAACUUACUACUAAACCAGUUAAACCUUUUUGCACCUGCAAAAAUGAAGGCAUUUGCGUCUACCAUGAUUAAUAUUCAAGAUUUCAAUAUAUUUUAAAUGUUAUGAUGACUAACUUGUGGAACUGCAGGUGUGGUUUCUUAGGUUUACUUCACAUGGAUGUUUUUCACCAGCGACUUGAACAGGUAACCAAAUAGUUAUUCUAGGGAUAUUUUAAAGAGCUUUUCUUGAUGAAGGAAUCGCUUCUGUAUGAAAAAGACACAAUUAAGAGGUCUAAUGUUCCUACAUUGUGAAAAAAAAAAAGAACUUUUCUUAAUACACCAGAAUGAAAACUUUAUGAUAUUUUUCAUCCGAAAGCAUUUUCUUGAAGAGAAAGAAAUUCAUUGAACUUAUUGAUUGCAUAUUUAACAUUCAGUUAUAUUCACUUACAAAUGAUGUGGAUGACAGGAACAUGGAGCUCAUGUAAUUUCUACCAUUCCAACUGUUCCCUAUAUUUAUGAGUAUUCUGAUGGGAGGUAUGUCUUACAUGCUAUUCUUUGUAAAAUUUUCAUUCAUAUGGUUUUACCAAACAUAAUAUUGGUUCUGUUCUAGCAAAGUAGAAGUUCAGAAUCCUGCCGCGUUGGUUGCAAACUCCAAGAAACAAGUAACAGCCUGUUGGGAACCUACAGUUCUAGCUACUAUCAUUAUUCCUAGUGAGUAAGCUCUCGCACACCCUUAGCAUGUCUUUUUUCCCUCUCCACCCUGGGAGGCAGUUAUUCAUACAGUAGACUCCAUAGUUAAUUUGUUGUCCAAUUGAAGGUAUGUGGGGGCUGUAAUCACCCUCUGCUCUGAGCGGAGAGGUCAGCAGUUGGAGUAUACUUUCAUAGACAGGUAACUUUUAUGAAAUGUCAAAUUGAAAGAUGAAAAUAUCCCUACGUUUAUAUAUACAUAUAUAUUUUUGCUUCAAGCAUCUUGCUUUAUUGUCUCCUGCCUCACCAACCAUUGAAUCAAAAUCCAGCUGCUAACAUUUAGUUAUAAAAAGAAUAUUACUUCAACAGAAUUUUGUUAGCAGCUGUUACAUUUUGACCCAAAGUUUGGUGAGCAUGGAUUUCGUGCUCAUAAGAUCUAAAUUGUGUGUAUUAAUGGACAUGUGUUGGUUCGAGACAUUUACAUAAUUUUUGGGAUGUUACCUUACCUACUCAUAUAGUUUAUUUGUUCUUUCUGCUUGUCUGUGAUUGAUAUAUUGUAAUCUGAUCUAUGCAGUCAACGAGCCUUCAUGAAGUACCGCUUGCCUUUGAGGGAGAUUGUUGUCGACUUUUACAAUGAAUUGAAGAGUAUUACAUCAGGAUAUGCAACAUUUGAUUAUGAGGACUCAGAGUAAGUUUCAACUCUCUCAUUCACACACCACACAUCUACUAGAAAAACCCACCAGUCAGAUAAGGAUAAUAUACUAGUGUCAAGCAAAGGGAUUCAACUGUUGAUUGGUAUCUGAUAAAUUGGUGCUGCAACUUUUUAAGUCAGCAUAAUCAGAAUGAGUAGCAUACUACUAUUAAAUGCUUAAGUAGAGCAAUUCCUCUUGUAAGUUGAUGGUUAAACUUGAAACUGAAAGCAAAAACCAGAACCGUAUUGCAUUUGUAUUGCUAUAGUAGUGUUUAUCAUGGCUGAUACUGGGCAGCAGUUCAUGGUUUCAUCACUGCAGUUGCUUAGCUAGGAUGAACUGUUAUUUUUUAUAUAUGGUAACUGCAAACUCCUUUCAUUCCCUCUGAUUGAAAUACAACAGAUAUCAGCAAUCUGAUAUGGUCAAACUUGAUAUCCUUCUGAAUGGACAACCAGUCGAUGCUAUGGCAACUAUUGUUCAUAAUUUGAAGGCGCAACGUAUUGGUCGUGAACUGGUGGAGAAGCUGAAGAAAUAUAUAGACAGGUAUGCUGAGCUAUACUGAAUUGUAAUUUCUUCCAUCUUUGUUCCUUUUCCCAGUAUGACGAGAUAUUUGAUUUUGAGCAGGCAAAUGUUUGAGAUAACUAUACAAGCUGCAAUUGGAACAAAGGUUGUUGCAAGGGAGACGUGAGUAUUAUUUAAAAUUUCUGCUUCUCAUGCUACGACUAUUCAAAUACUGUUGAGCUAAACUUCUCUAUGUUUUGUCUUAGGAUUUCUGCUAUGAGAAAAAAUGUUCUUGCCAAGUGUUAUGGUGGUGAUGUUUCUCGAAAGAGGAAGCUAUUAGACAAGCAAAAGGAAGGGAAGAAGCGAAUGAAGCGUGUUGGUUCUAUAGAUAUACCUCAGGAGGCAUUUCACGAACUACUAAAGAGUUCAUAGGAAACAAUCUGAAUAGCCGAUGGUAACAGACCGAUUCUUACUGUGUUCCUUUUGCAUUUGUAUGUUGUCAAAAUUAUCUAUUGCACCAGUACCAUUUACCAGAAUUUUUGUCUGACUGAGUAAAUUAUGUCUUUCAUUCCAAAAAAUUUGGUAGCAUGAGAGGAAGUUUUCAAAUAUUUCUAAUUUCAUGGGUUAGUGAAAUUAGUUACAAACUUACAAGGUUUCAUUUUGGUAGCACACUUACAUGUGGAUACUCAUACUUGUAGGCCUAUAGUUUAUGUGGCUUAUUGUUGGAGCCAACCUUCAGGGUUUUACAGAAAAAGAUUACUUUGGCUUGCCUUCACGGUGAGGAAGAUAACGAGGUAGAGGAAGCUGUUGGAAUAUCAAAAUUAAAUAAUGUGGUGCAUUGGCUUCAAAGAGGCCAUCUUAUGAGUUAUCAAAGUUUUGGAGUGGAGGAAGACCGAUUUUUUUAUCAAUACUGGUAGUUUCUUCCUUCUUACAGAUCGCGCUGCGGUUGUAAUAUAUUGAUUUAUAGAUCCUGGUCAAAUAAUGUCUCUGGUUAGUUGAUAGAGUAAACUGUCUAAGUUGCAACUUUGUCUUCUGAAUGCCCAUCAGAGCUUAUUUAUUUUUUCUGAACAGUCAUACUUUGUAUCUAGCAGCCAGUUGGUAGUGUGCUGCAAUAUUAUUGAUUGACAAUCAUAUUUUCAGAACAGGGUGAGCCUGUGAAUAAACUCCUACAUCUUUUGAUUACAGUAACUACUGGUAAAUUUGACAUAUCUAACAUGUGAUCUUGUCAAACUGUUGAUCUAGACCACGCAUUUGAUAGUCCAUAUUGAGGGUCUGACAAAAUAACAUCUGAGAUUGUCUAACUAGCGGAAUUUCAAUUUCUGAUCACAUAAUUUAGAGACUUUUAUCCCUGAUGGCAGGGGAAGAUGUAGUGCUCUUGGACUCGGGAAAUGGCAGUGGAGGCUGGAGAAGCGUCAAGUUUCCCUUCUGAGAAUCAGAAGAUGACAAGCUGUUGAAAAUGCUUGAUGAGCGGCUUUUCCCAGUCUGUGUCAAGUGUUGUCCUAAUCUUUCCCCUAUUCCUUGGCUUCCAUAACUUGCUGCACCACCUCCAACCAUAGAUGAAAGCGCUACAGCAAUGACUGACUUGAAAUUUGGGUCUGAUGUGAUUGCCUUGGUCAAUGUCUCUGUUAAGGACACCUGGGAAGAGGCUUGGUGAUUGGGUUGGAAACACUCUUGGUUCUUUCUGUCAAACUGCGUCCCAAAUCUGGGGUACACGUUGCCCCAACUGGGUGGUAAAUUGCUGUUAGAUUCUGAGGAACAAAAGCUUAGACUUGGAGGAAAUGUGCAGUAUUGGUUUGAUGAAGGGGAAGGAGAAGAUGUGAGGUCUAGAGUAACUGUGGGAAACAAAGGGGAGGAGGAAAGCUUAGGCAUGUAAAGUUGUUGUCUCGAAUUAUCAAAGAGACCAAAACCUAGUCCAUUACUGGAACCAAGACCUGGAAGCUGAGAUGUCAAAGAGCCAGACAAUAACAUGGAAGCUGCGGCAGAGGUGGUGGAAGCCAUGGAAGUGGCUGUCAUUGGAAGUGGGUGGUUGUGGGUUCCUUCAUAGGUGGUGAUCAAGAUAGACAUGUCAUCAAUACAUCUUUGCACCUGAAAAAUCAUAUGAAAAGUUAAAACACAUUAGCUUAAAAAAAAACUGUUCAAUUGUAGUGACAGGAACUUGAAUGUCAUCUUUGUAACAAGAAUUUAACCUGCUUUCUAACAGGGCAUCCUGGUGCAACCGUGCAUCGGUAGUAUGCUCGCGGGCAUGGAUUUCCUUUCGCAAUCUUCUGUCCGUAUUUUCUCCAUUGGCAUCCAUCAAUCAUCUGUAAAAAAAAUUAAGCAGAAGUAUUUUAACAAAAGCAAUUCUUAUAUGAGAGGAAAAAAAUUCAUGUGGAGUGUAGUAGUACCGUGGGGGUGUCACAUCGAGCUCUCACAGAAACCCUAGCUCUUUUUGCAGCAUUGGCCUGCUGCGAAGCAUCAUCAUCUUCAUUUCUUAUUGUCUUUGGUGUUUUAGUACUUGAUGGGGAGGCUUCUGAUUCCUUAGGCUCUUCGGAACUAGUCUCCGGAAUCGGACCGCUCAAUACAAGCUCGGUAGGCAACUGCAACUUAGAGCCUAAUCCAAGAGUAAGGUUGGCCUUCGAGUCUUGGUGAUGAUCAGCUUGUACAAGUUUGCCCUCAUCACUAACAUUUUUAGGGUCUCUUGGGCUUCUUCCAAGGCAAAGAGACAAGAGCUGAUCAUGAGGUUCUUCAAUUUCAACAUGGGAGGUGGUGGCACUCAUUGUUGCCUUCUUGGAAUGAGACUCUUGUUUGAGGAUGUCAAAAAAGCGCAACUGUAGAGACUGGUAAUCCUUCGUCAUAUGCUCCAACGUCUUCUUCAGUCUCGCAUUUUCUUCUCUGACCUCACUCAUUUCGGCUUUGGCAUUAACAAGUUCAUAAUUCUCCUAUCAAAAUAAACAUGAAAAAAUCAAAAUCAAAAACAAAUUAAUCGAGGUUCUACUCUUUAAUUUACAUCAGAACUGUCUGCAUGCAUCUCUUUCAUAGAGUAAUACCUAAGAUGAUAUAUAUCAGUGAGUGAUUCAAUGAAACUAUUUGGAAUAUGAUCAACGACGAUCGAUUCGAUCCUGGCUAGCUAGGAGAUCGAAGAUCAAAAUUAAACAUCAAUUAAAUUAGGAGAUCGAUGAAGGUAACCAAGACAUGAUGAACAGACAUACCUGCCCUUCUUGGUAGCCGAAGGAUUCAACCUUCGUUCCAACAGCUGCUGCUGCUGUUGAAUCAGAGUUUGGCAUUCUCUAUGAUAUAGCUCUCUCUUGCUUUAUAUAUAGAGCAGACAGCAGCAGGUUUGUACUUUUGCUCUCUAACCCAGAUUAUUCUCGCUUACAACACAAACAACUUGAUUAUAAAUAUCCACAGGAGGAGGUAGAGAUGAAGUACAUGGGGUUAAUUAACCACCCAUUACUUUCAGACGUUUAAGUUUAAAUUAUCCAAGUCGACGAACCAGGUAAUAUAAUCAUCUUAUUGAGCUCAUUACGCAGGCACAGAAAAAAUGUCAACUCUCUGCAUCAAGCCACAGUCCUUUUUUUAAUACCUAUUCUUCCGGAUUAGCUAAGAUUAAUAAAUUAACAAGGAUUUUUCAUGUUUCAAUUUCCACAGUUGAGGGACAUAUUGAUGAUGAGCUUCCAGAGAGCUUAAUACGCGGGCACAGCCAACUUGUAUCCAUGUAUUCUAGAAUACAUAUAACUAUACAUAUACAUUAGAAGACUUGUAUAAGUAGUACUACAUGCAUGUCUACAUCUUUGAUGCUUCGUACAGGUUUGAAUUCACAUGGCUAAUUAAGUCAAGCCAGUCGGGAUCGUGUGGAUUUGUAGCAAUGCUGAUCGAGAGGAGAAGGCAGCUAGCUAGCUGCAGCAGCAGCAGCAGCCUAAAAAUAAUAAGCUAUUCAUGAGUGUCAGCAGUCAAUACGCUUUGCCAUAAACGGGGUGAGACUUCAGUACUUCACUGAUUAUCUUUAUACUUCAUUUACUUGAUUAAUAUUAUUGGGUGAUCACACAAAAUAUUGAAGGAGAAAAUGCAGUGUAGAUAUAUUAGUUAGAAAAUGCAGUGUAGAUAUAUUGUUUGCUACCUAAGAUUUUCGUUUUGUUUUAAAAUAGAAAUUGAUUUCAUUAAUAUCAAUAGACGGCAUAUGUUAAAAGCUAAGAGUUAAACAACUCCGUAUAUAUAUUUGUGAUGAGCUCGUUUUAGAAGCGACUUAAGCUUACAAAAUAAAGAAAUAUGCAUAACUCGUACUAGAUCGAUUUCACAAUUAUGUCGAUCGGCAUGUCAAGUUUUUCAUAUUUGUUCUCUAAGUUUUUCAUAUUUGUUUUUCAUAGGCGUGUAAUAACAUGUACUUUGAAGGUUUUUCUCUUCUAGGCUCCUGUAUUUUUUAAUCAAUUGACGACCUAGUUUAGAUUAAAACCCGGCCACCUCUUAAUGCUUUAGACUAUAAUUGAUCAUCUUGGGAUCUGAGUAUAGCAGGAUUUGUAAUAGCUUGUUUGGAUCUGCUCAUGCAAAUCUCAUCCAUUACUGUUUGAGAUCGACACCAUAUGUAUAUGUUGAAUAUCAAAAUGAACGUGAUCUUUUGAAACUCUAACCCCAGAAAGAAAAAUUAGUGAUGUUUUGAAACUAUGAGAGACGAUUGUUUGUAUUAUUAAACUUGCAUAUGAUCACAAUGAUAUCAUUACGGUUCUUAAGUAAAUCAAAUUUUAUAACAUAUCAGAGAGACUGAUACAAACCAAAUUGUCCUACAUAUAUAUAUGACUUUUAGGGUUUGUGUUUAUUACAUACAGUGACCAUCUACCUAAGACAAAGGCUAGCUUUACUAAAAAAAAAAAAAAAUCUGGAACCCAUUCCCAUUAGCUAUCAAUAUGAUGAUUGCAUAUGAAAUUUAUGCAAGUUACCAGAGCUAGCUCAAAUUAUGAUGGAAAAUUUGGUGUAUCCUAGCUAGUAAUUCGUAUUGUUAUUUUUGUAGUAAUACUUGAGCUUUUUUUAUAUAUUUUAUACUGUAUAUUAGUUUUUUUUUUUUUUUAAUUUGAAACCCAACUAGAGGCUCAAUAUACUGUAUAUAUGUUGUGAUCUUGACUAAUAAGAGUACACCAAUGACCUUGUCAUCUAGGGCAAACAACCUGGAAGACCAUUUCCAUAGGGAAACAUCUGCAGACUGAAAAAGUUGAACCUGCUUAAUAUAUCCAUCAAACCCUUCAACUCGAUCUUUAAUGAAAACUUGUCAAAGGAGUCAUAUAUAUGACUAGUAUGACUAAUUUCUAAACCAAGGAAUUGCAGCUAGUCCGUCGAUCACUUAGUCGCAACUGAUGACUACUUCUCGAUCUGAUACAGAUAAUAAGUACACGUACUAGAACAUCCAUAUAUACCGUCCAAUACCAACUAGCAUAUAUUGGAUCAAACUAAACCAGGUAUAUUAAUCCUAAUUGUAAUUUAUUUAUGAAAUAAAUCAAACACUAGCUAGCACGACCGUCAACUUUCUAAAGUUAAUUUGUUUGUUACAACUUGCUUGUUGGAGAAAUUUUGAAGAGACAUCGAGCUAUAUUGUUAUAGCUCAGGGCUGACCCUUUGAUUCUUCAAUGGACAACUAACUGAUUGAGAUACAGUCUUCUAUCGUGUAAUUACCAAGUAAAAAGGAAUUUUUCUUAUAUCACGAUGGCUUUUGAUAUAAAAAUUAGAAGUCGUAAUAUCAUAUUAGGCGUGAAAUAUGUCGUUUAUAUAUAUAUGGUAUGAACUUUUCUACUAUACAUAUAUGUAUAGCAUACAUAAAGCCAUGAACCGUCCGAUCGUCUUGAAUUUUGAAUUAGUAAACAAUCGGACGGCUCACGGCUUGAUAUAUGUCAUAUAAAUGUGUAUAGCAGCUGAACUCAUGUAUAUAUCCUUUCACUAAAAACUUUAUUUACAUAAUCAAUUGGAAUUGAAAAUUAUUUGAAGUGCGCCUCUCUUCAAGGUGUUUAGGUUAGGUGAUAGAAACAUAACAGCGAGGUCACAGAUCAUAUAUAUUGGUAGAAAAUGUUAGUAGAUUAUUCCAUUUAGAAGGGUCUUACAUGUAGUCCUAGUCUUGGGCGUAGGUAACAUGAAGUUUACUGGCGUCUGCAUAAUUGGAUUGACUCUCAUAACAUAUAUACAAGGUGAUGUUAUAUAUAUAUAUAUAUAUAUAUAUAUAUAUAUAUAUAUAUAUAUAUAGUACGUACNNNNNNNNNNNNNNNNNNNNNNNNNNNNNNNNNNNNNNNNNNNNNNNNNNNNNNNNNNNNNNNNNNNNNNNNNNNNNNNNNNNNNNNNNNNNNNNNNNNNNNNNNNNNNNNNNNGAGAGAGAGAGAGAUUAAAUUGUGAAUACAUGAGGUUUGUUUUUUAAGUCCUAGUCUUGCUGGUUGCUAUCAUAGGAAGAGACUUAAGAGCCAUGUGGUGCUUAUUAUAAUGAACUAUGUCAAUGCUCUUAAUUUAAUUUAGUGAAUUAACAAAUCUGCAGUUUUCAAAUCCUCAGCAAAUAGAGAGACCUUACUUGCAUCUUAUGAUUAUCAAUUCAUCAUUAUUGAGUGUCAUCUAUAAUAUAUGGCUGGAUGCUAGCUAGAGUACUAUGUUGGUUUAGUGUGUAAUCUGAGAUCUAUGAUCAUGAGUCUACGGAUAUUAAGCAAUUCUAUAACAUUCGUUAAAGUAAAGUUUUGGCUCUCUUUGUGUGAGAUCACUAAUAACAUAAUUUAAUAAUCUCAAUCAUUCAUCUUUAAGUUCCUAUUGGAACCACUAAUUAAGUUUCUAUUGGAACGACAAUGGUAAACGUUUUUGUCAUUUGAUUAUCUUUGAUCUUCAUUCACAUCUUGGUUUACACGUACAUUUUAAUUUACACAAGGAAAUGAAGAGCGGCAAAACAAACAAUGCAAACUGACAUUGCCCAAAGGAUGCAAAUGACCUCAUGGGUUAUAUAUGCAAAUCCACUUAAAAAUUCUUUUUUCAGACUGAUAGAGUGAUUGGCAUCCUGAAGGCCCUCAAUCCUUUUCUCUUUUUUUUGGAAUUAAUGAAAUUCUUCAUUAAUGGUUCAGAGGGUUAAACCUAAAGGAAGAGCCUAAAAAAGCCCAAAGUACAAUCACUAUAAUAAUAUUAGAUAACUUAUCACUCAGCCCAAUCCACAAUGAUAAGGUAAAAGGGGGUAACCCUAAAAAUAAAAUUAAAAUUACAUCAUCUUCUACACUUCUAACACAGCUGUCGUCACCAAAGAAAAACUCAGCUACGGCCAAAAAAGGCCCUCAAUCCUUUAGGUCUAAAUGCAUCUGACAUCAAUGGCCCAAUAUCAUCUUGCAUUAUCAGAAGGUAAUUAAGGCAAAUAUAUGUAGGCUUGUUUGUUACUCAAGAGUAUUGCAUAUGAAUUUGACUUCUUUGCGUGGAUCUAUGUUGUUUGGAUGUCUUACUAUUGGAGUGAGUAUAAUCCGAAGCCACAACGUCAUCUUUACUCAAUCCAAUAAUUAUAAGACAUUCAGGUAAAUCUAAACUGAGAAGUUCAUUGGGUAUACCACCUUAAUUGCUACUACUAUCCUGGAUUUGUGGAGGUGAGACUAAGGUGUAGUACUUUUGUACUACGUUUGGAAGUGAAAGAUACUAGAAACUUAGUGACAGUGUGGAAGGAGAGAACCGAGUCCCUUUUCAUUGUUCGGAUAGUGUUGCCUUCUAUCACCUUCAAUUCAUCCCUUCCCAUACUUGAAAACUGCAAAACUCAUAAUCAAAAUCUCUCUUGAAACUCCAAUUCAAAGAAUUCAAGGCCAAAAGGAUGACCAUCCGACGACAAGCAUAUUUAAGUGUUUUGGCCACGAUCCUCAGCAGGGGUAGAGAGGUAACUUGUGCUACCAAAAAGUAAAUUAGGGUUUGCAGGGCGUGCCACCGCGCGGACGCGGAACGAGAACGGUGCGCGUUCUUGACUUCUAAUCAGGCGAAGUAGAGCUCCGGUGUCACCUCGCGGGCGAGGAAUUACGAGCAAACUAUCUAGUCACCUGUGAAUCGAUACUCACUGUUCGAAGCGAGCAGAGCAACAAUUGGGAAAGAGAGGCGAGUCCAGACGGGCUCUGAGAUCUAAGGCGAGGUGCACUUAGAACUUAGGGUUUCGAGGAUGCUCGAAGAUUUGCAGUUGUUUUGUAUGAUUGAUUGUGUGUGUAGUGUGCUAAACCAGAUCCUCGAACUCUCUUAUAUAGCGAUCCGUAAGCAAUUCGCAGAGACCUAAUCACAAAUCCAUUCGGACUCAGCAAUUAGAAUUCCACCAGGAACGACUAGCUCCCGAGCCGCGCGAUNNNNNNNNNNNNNNNNNNNNNNNNNNNNNNNNNNNNNNNNNNNNNNNNNNNNNNNNNNNNNNNNNNNNNNNNNNNNNNNNNNNNNNNNNNNNNNNNNNNNNNNNNNNNNNNNNNNNNNNNNNNNNNNNNNNNNNNNNNNNNNNNNNNNNNNNNNNNNNNNNNNNNNNNNNNNNNNNNNNNNNNNNNNNNNNNNNNNNNNNNNNNNNNNNNNNNNNNNNNNNNNNNNNNNNNNNNNNNNNNNNNNNNNNNNNNNNNNNNNNNNNNNNNNNNNNNNNNNNNNNNNNNNNNNNNNNNNNNNNNNNNNNNNNNNNNNNNNNNNNNNNNNNNNNNNNNNNNNNNNNNNNNNNNNNNNNNNNNNNNNNNNNNNNNNNNNNNNNNNNNNNNNNNNNNNNNNNNNNNNNNNNNNNNNNNNNNNNNNNNNNNNNNNNNNNNNNNNNNNNNNNNNNNNNNNNNNNNNNNNNNNNNNNNNNNNNNNNNNNNNNNNNNNNNNNNNNNNNNNNNNNNNNNNNNNNNNNNNNNNNNNNNNNNNNNNNNNNNNNNNNNNNNNNNNNNNNNNNNNNNNNNNNNNNNNNNNNNNNNNNNNNNNNNNNNNNNNNNNNNNNNNNNNNNNNNNNNNNNNNNNNNNNNNNNNNNNNNNNNNNNNNNNNNNNNNNNNNNNNNNNNNNNNNNNNNNNNNNNNNNNNNNNNNNNNNNNNNNNNNNNNNNNNNNNNNNNNNNNNNNNNNNNNNNNNNNNNNNNNNNNNNNNNNNNNNNNNNNNNNNNNNNNNNNNNNNNNNNNNNNNNNNNNNNNNNNNNNNNNNNNNNNNNNNNNNNNNNNNNNNNNNNNNNNNNNNNNNNNNNNNNNNNNNNNNNNNNNNNNNNNNNNNNNNNNNNNNNNNNNNNNNNNNNNNNNNNNNNNNNNNNNNNNNNNNNNNNAGAACGCGAUGGCGCGUAGCACUAUUGACUGUGGUGACGGGGUCUGGGGGAGGCGGAGGAUCCUCGCGUUCCCAAACUCCUGCAAUGUGGCGCUUGAGGAAGCGGCCAUUAAUAGGAUUGCGAUGAAUGGUACCGUCCAAGUCGCGCAAGUGGUAUGCCCCCUUGGGGAGUAUACGAUGAAUAAUAAAGGGGCCUUCCCAUCGAGCAAACCACUUGUCCCGACCGUCGGUUUUGUCCCCAAGUGGGAGUACCGCGCGCCACACUUUCUGGCCCUCAGCAUAGCUCCGUCCGCGCGUGACCUUAUCAUACGAACGUGCGAUGCGUUGUUUCUCGAGGACGAGAUUGUUGAAAGCGGUGACGUGGUGCUCGUCAAGAUCUUCAAGUUCCUGCCACAUGGCCUGGACGUAAUCCUCGCCAAGUAGUUGAUGCUGUUCCUGAACGCGGAGUGAAGCGAUAUUGAUCUCAAGGGGAAGGACGGCAUCGUGGCCGUACAUGAGAGCGUAAUAUGGCGUAGAGUGGAGAAGCUUGAUUCCGUAGUCGUUUAAGUACUUAACAACUGAAUCAGCCAUGAAAGCUGCCCCCCUGUCCGUAACGAUGCACUCCGGGAUACCAAAGCGGGGGAUGAUAUUGCGGAAAAUAAAGUUGCGCACCGAGUUGGCGGAGGCAACCUUGAGUGGUUCGGCCUCGACCCAUUUGGUAAAGAAAUCGGUGGAGACGAUAAUGAACUUAUGCUGCUCAGAAGAAUGGGGAUGAAUGAUGCCAACGAAAUCUAUCGCCCAACCGCGACCCGGCCAAGGUUUAAUGAUAGGCUGCAACGGGAUGUUGGGAAUAUGUUGCACUGGUCCGUGAGCCUGGCAGUCUUGGCAACCUUUGGCGAAGGCAAUACAGUCUUUCAGAAUGGUUGGCCAGUAGUACCCAUGGCGACGGAUUAACCAACGCAUUUUUUGCCCGGCCUGGUGCGAACUGCAAACUCCACAAUGGACUUCGCGCAUGAUACGUUUAGCUUCGUUCCCAUACACGCAGCGGAAAUCGUUUCCGUCUUCCCCACGCCGCCGGAGUUCGCCAUUGCGUAAAACAAAGUUUAAGGCGAGGAAACGUAUUUGCCUGGAGUGAGCGGCGUCGUUGGGGUUCUGGAGGUAGGCGAUAAAUGGUAACCGCCAAUCCUCGUCGAUAGGGUCCAAGGCCGCAACUUCAGGGGUGUCGGCUUGAAAUUGCCCCCUAGCGAUGAAAGAGGGAAGCGUGCGGCGUUCGACUUUGAGCAAACGUUCGCGCACGCCGUCGCGCAGGCUGAGACCGGACGCUACUUGGGCGUGCUCGUUGGCGGCGAAGUUGAACUCACGUGGUAUGUGCUCGAUGUAGACGUCGUCGAAUCGGUCCAACACCUCAAAUGCCUUGCGCAGGUAUGGCUCAAUGGACGAGCUGAAGCACUUAAACUUUUCCACCAGCUGGUUAACGACCAACAAAGAAUCGCCAAAGAUCUGAACCUCGCGGACUCCUAAAUCCAACAAAAUCUCUAGGCCGAUGAUCAGCGCCUCGUACUCAGCCUGGUUGUUGGUGCAUUUGAAAUCGAGCUGGAACGAGUAGGAGAAGCGAUCUCCAGCGGGAUUGGCUAUGGCUAUCCCGGCUCCGGCCGCGGUAUCAGUUCGUGAACCAUCAAAGUACAGGGUCCAUGGAGCGAGUGUCACGGUAGCGAAUUCCAAUUCGCGAAACGCCGUGAGCUCUGAAGGUGGGUGAUGAGCAAGAAAGUCUGCUAUUGCAUGUCCUUUUACUGCAUUUUGACGAACAUAUUGCAACGAGAAUUCGGACAUGGCUAAGAUCCACUUGCCGAUGCGUCCCCGCAGGAUAGGGCGGGAGAGCAUGUAUUUGACCAGGUCGGAUUGAGCGAUCACAACCGUGGUAAAGGCAAGCAUGUAAUGGCGCAGCUUGCACCCUGCAAAAUAUAGGGCAAAACACAACUUUUCCAUAGGGGAGUAUCGUGUCUCGCACUCAGUUAACACCCUGCUAAGGUUAUAGACAGCGUGUUCUACCCCGUUCACAUCGUCUUGGGCCAGGAGUCCGCCGAUGGACAAGUCGACAGCGGCGAUAUAAAGUUUAAGCGGGGUACCGUCGCGAGGAGGGAUCAGGACUGGUGGGUUCGUCAGGUAGUCCUUGAUCCGAUCGAAUGCCUGUUGAUGUUGUGGUUCCCAGACGAACUCGGUUGCCCCCUGGAGCUUGAGGAGGGGUGAAAAAGGCUGGACCUUCCCUGCCGCGUUUGAUAUGAAACGGCGGAGAAAGUUGAUUCGCCCGAGCAGCUGUUGGAGCUCCUUUUUUGUGGUGGGGGGCGAAGCGGUGAUUACCGCCUGUGCCUUUUCUUUUGGGAUUUCGAUGCCUCUUUGAUGCACUAGGAAACCAAGGAAAUCACCGGCCUCCGCAAAGAAAACACACUUGGCGGGGUUCAUCUUCAGGUUAUGUCGGCGCAUCCGUGUAAACACCUGCCGCAGGUCCUCAACGUGGGUUGCCCGUGUUUUGGUUUUGACUACCACAUCGUCGAUGUAUACUUCGAUCAACUUCCCCAAGAUGUCAUGAAAGAUGAGGUUCAUGGCGCGCUGGUACGUUGCCCCCGCGUUUUUAAGUCCGAAAGGCAUGACAACAUACUCGAACGCGCCGGCAAAACCAGGGCAGCGGAAAGCGGUCUUGUGUCGAUCUUCCUCAGCCACGGGAAUCUGAUGGUAUCCAGCCGUCCCAUCCAUAAAGGAUAACACCUCGUGCCCCGCAGCGGCAUCAAUGAGUAGGUCAGCCACAGGCAUGGGGUAUAUAUCCUUCGGUGUUGCGUUGUUUAGGUCGCGGUAAUCAACAUAGACACGCAUCUUGCCAUUUUUCUUGCGAACGGGGACAACAUUGGACAGCCACUCGUUAUACUUUGCCACGCGAAUGAUGCCCGAUCGGUGCAUGCUUUUGAUGACACGACCCACCCCAAAUUUCACCCUGAAACCCGGAGUAAGUCGUGCGGGGACCACCUCCAAGGAAAAUUUACUAAAAAGAUUGAGAAAAUCUCCCUUGCAGAUGGACAACCCUAACUCGAAAAUUCCAAAUUUCACUCUUAAUUCAACACUUCUAAACAUCACAUAAUUUACAAUAAUCCUAAAGUAUUCAGAGCUACUAAACACAAACGGAAGCAAGAAAACAUGAGUAGGUUGAACAGGUAACCUACUGAUGAAAACUGGCAGAAAUGCGGGUGACUAUGCCUCCCCUCCUACUAGAUCCAACCCGAACUCUGUAGACUGGGCAAUUUAAAACGAAAGGCCCAGGGGAAAACAUUUAAUAACAUUAGAGUGAGUGGACAAAAAUAAAAUAAAGGAAAUAAUUCUUUAUGCUUUCCCAAUUUUUACUUUUCCAUAGAAAAGAAAAUAUACUGCAUGCGACAGCUCAAAACACUCAACACAAAAACUGGAAUUUCAUGACUGGCUCCGGCCAGUCUCCAACGCUCAAUAAAAUACAGCCUCUCAGGCUAAAAUAAAAUAUGUAUGUAUUACACUCGUCAUAUCCCUUGUAUGAAUUUUCUUGAAACAACAAAAACAAAUAGAAAAUUCACACAAGGCUACAACGCUUGCAUCUAACGCUCACGUUGCACCAUAAUGGCUAUUUUACCUCAUUAUGGUGGAAAAGACGGUGUAUAAAUAUACGCGCAUAUCCCCUAUAUAAAUUAUUAUUUUUAUACAGGGCUACAACGAUUGCGUCUAACGCUCACGUUGCACCAUAAUGGGAUUUUACCUCAGUAUGGUGGAAAAGCACGUAUAGCUAGCUAGCAUUCUCUCAUAUACAUAUUAUUCUCAUAAUCAUUCACAUAUGAAUAUAUAUAUAUAUAUAUACUCACCGAAAUUCUCAAUUUCGAUUAUUCUCCAACAACAUAAAUUAUUUCGCAUGCACAUUAUUUAAAACAAAAGUCCACUCACAAAUUAGGCCUAAGCCUGAUGUCGAUCUGGGGCCUCGUCAGCUCGAGCCUCCUCACGACCUGUUCCAAAUAUAAUAUUAAGUUCCCAGCCGAAAUUCCAAUAUUUAAUCAAAAUAGGCAAAAUUACCCGAGAGCCAUAAAUACGCUCAUCAUUGCCUAACUUCGAUAAUCUUAAAUUGGAACAAUCCGAACUUAAAUAUCAUACUCAACAGUCGUAAAUACAACCUCUCCAAAAUACGACUUAAAUCCUACGGCCGGAUUCUACAUUAAUUAACCGCCAAAAAUACUAACUUCGGAAAUUCAUAAACCUAUCCAAAACUCAUCCAAAAAUUCCAUAACUCACUUCAAUAAACUCCCCUUAAUAUUCCAAAUUUAACAACAUUAAAAUCUGCCAACCGGCGGCGCCGCCGGCGGCGGCGCCCGGAGACCAGUUCCGGCGACCUCCAAUUCCUAUGAAAUUUUAACAGCAUUUUCCUCUCAUCAUGCUCUACAACUUUCAUAACUAGCACAAACACCAAUUCCAAGCCUAACUAGGGCAAUCGACUAAAAACAUCAAAAACACCAUAAAACUUCCACCUCAAAUUUCUCCUUACCUAGCUCAAGAGGGAGUGAGUCCUUUUAGGGCAAGGUUGCUGGGUUGGAGGGCUACAAAACCAUACCAAGCUUGCCCGGAUUGAUGGCCGGAGGAGGGAGUUCCGGCGAAAUGCUUCCCGGCGUUUCCGGCGGGUUUUCUCCUCUUCCGGCGGGUUAGAGGCUCGGGGGCUAGGCCGGGGAGGGAGAGGAGGAGGUGGGGGUCCGAACUGGGGUGGAGCGGCGGCCGGUGGCUGGCCGGAUGGCGGCAGUUGGCGGCUGGACAGUCCGGCAGUGGGAGGAGAGCACGGGAGAGAGGAGGAAGGGAAAAGAGAGAAGAAGAGAAAGAGAGAAAAUGGGUUGGGCCUCCCAACCGGUCCAAUUCAUAUAUCAACCCACUCCAAAAUAAAACACCCCAAAAAAUAAUACUCGAAUUAAAAAUUACCUUUUACUAGCUAAAAUUUACCAUUUUUACCGUCGUCGUAUUUUCCUCAUACGAAUAAUCCUCCGCACAUAAUCGUCCCCGAAACCCCUCUAGGGACCAAUUAAACUAUUUACUCAUGAUCGAGACGGUAAAAUUCUUAUUAUAAUCACGCUAGUAAAUAAGGUAAAAAUAUAAGGGUCGGGAUGUGACAUUCGAUCUCCUCCUUAACUACGAUCUGAGUGUCAGUUCGCAUGAAUCGGCCGCCCUGCCGUACUGGACGUCGGUCGGGAUAAGUUGGUAACCGAUGGCAGACCAAGUCCGGGGACAAGCCGGGCAUGUCUUCGUAUUUGUCGGCGAAGCAAUCCCUGUAUUCGCGUAACAGGGCCAGAAGGGCUUCCUUUUCGUCUUUCGCCAACUUAGCAUUGAUAGAAAUAAGUAAGGGCUUUUCUGCAGUCCCUACGUCAACUUGUGAAAUGGGGUCGCGGACUUGAGGUGGUGUGUCGUCCAAGGCGGCGGGAGCUAAGUGAAUAACUUCCUCCUUGGUAUCGGAAUAAUCCACCACUUCAUCUACAUAUUCCAUAGUCGCGACCUUGUCGUAGGCUUCGCGUUCUGCCCAGUCGAAAGGAGUCUUUCGCACAAGGACUCGCCAGCCUCGCGUGCCUCCUCUGAGAAGGCACUAUUCAUCAGAACGGGGUGUGGGAUUCGCGAUGGUGUGAGGACGUUGCAAAUCGUCCUUUGCCUGGGUAAGUCCCCAUCGCGUUAGAUUGGAGAUCGUUAUUCCAUAUGGGCGGCCCUUGUUAUCGACGCCUUAAACAUCCAACGGACCCAAGUCUGUAGUAUAAUAUCGGGCAUCAUUGAAGUUGGCGGAGAUAGAGAAUGGCCGCGGGUCGGCUUUGAUGAUGACUGCUUCACGGUUCUCGGUGUCCCAAAUCAUGAGUUCUUGGUGCAUGGAGGAAGGCACGCAGAAACUUCUGUGGAUCCAAUCUCGGCCAAGAAUCAUGCUGAAGGAGGAAGUGCAUUCGGCGACGAAAAAGGUGUAAACCCGUGAUGCCGGCCCGACCUUGACCCGUAGAAAUAGCAAGCCUAGGGUUCUGGACACUUGCCCGGUGAAGUUCUUGACUGUCAAGGAAGUGGUUUGGAUCAUCGAGCGCGGGAUGUCUAGGAGUCCCAUGGUACGGGUUGUGACAACAUUGACCGCGGCACCGGUGUCGACCAUGACUUUGUUGAUCAUCUUUCCUUCGACUUCGGCCGUGAUAUACAGUGGCCGCAUGUGAGUGGCCAUGUCCAAAGUUAGUGUGGAGAAGGUUAGAGUUUGCUUAUGUUUGAUGCUGCUCGUAAUUUCCACCUGUGGGGCGUCGUCGGCCUGUACCGGAACUGGGCCCAUUUCGCUGCUGCAUGGCGGGGGUAUGCUACUGACAUCCUCGCUGCUGACGGGAAUAUCCGCCGCACUGCAGGUUGUGUUCGGUGGAAGAGUGUAUCUUUCCGAAAUGAAGAACACCAUCCCGACUUGAAAGGAGAAUUGUUCAGGGACUGGGACCAGGGGAGUGUCAAUGAUCCCGUGUUCCCCUUCGAGCACCGCGAAAGCAUCUGCUUCGCGGCUAAACCCUUCAUCAGCACCCCAUCCUGAGACCUCUACCAUAUUACAGGUGAAUGAUUCUGCCUGCUCUUCGUCCCGGUUUUCCUCUAGGUUAAGUCGAGGUUCUGAAUGUGCCUCGUCGUCUUCUGAAUUCUCGCGGAAACGCUGGGCCAUUUGUUGGGCGAGGUUAGGACUGGAGGGCGCCUGUGCGGCUAUUGGUGGCUCUUGAGCCUCGGGUUGCCGCGGACGUCAUACUGACUUGGUUGAAGGCUGGUGGUCCUUGGCGGGUUGUUUGUCUGUUGCCAAAGGAGCCUUAUCGCUGUCUUCCUUUUUCAACCGUUGUAGGGCGGAUACUCGGGGAACCAUCCGAGUCUCGGGCUCCGGGGUGGACCGUGUCCGAGGCUGGUGUGGUGGUGGUGGUUCCCUUCUGAUAUUGGCCUCCAGAUUUUGACGUUCCCGUUGCUGUGAGGGCUGAGACGGUUCGCGUUUGGACUCUGGGUCCGGGGUCGUGAACAGUUUACGCCUAGGACCGGUAGGCAGGUCCCUUCUCCGCUCGGGCUCCGGUGACGGCCUGCGCCUGGAAGGCUGUUUUUCCCUCCUCUUUUCAGGCUCUGGUGACGGUUUGGGCCUAGCAGGCUGUGGAUCCAUUCUUCUUUCAGGUUCUGGUGAUGGCUUGCACCUGGAAGGCUGUGGAUCCUGCUUUGGUGGAACCGUGAGUCGGCAAAAGAGGUUUGCUUUGGGUGCAGGCUCGUCGCUGAACUGCUCGCAAAUCCUUGGGGGUGUGACAGGCGGCAUUUGAAGGAAUGCGCGCAAACCCUCUGCUUCCCUCCACAUCCGUUUAGGCGUCUGUGCGAGCUGUGAGGGGCGUACAGCACCCUCUUCGACAGCCCGUAAGGCACGUAGGAUACUACCGUAUCGCUUUUGGAGCUUUCGCUUCUUAGACCUGCUGAUGGUGACUGCCUUGCCCCCUUGCUGUGUGUACCAGACUCCAUCCUUGAUUGCGGAUUUGGACGUCGGGGGAAUAUAGGGGUCGGUUAGGACGCCUUUACGAGGGCUCGAGGCCUCGUUGUUGUGACGCUCACCGCUGGAGUCUGACAUGUCCAUCUCACUUGUGGCAGGGGAUGAAGGUACCGCCUCUGCCCAAUGUGUAUAGACGAACGUCUCGAGACGUUCAAUCCUCCUUUCCAGCGCUUCUUGAGUCCUGGGACUCAUAGGCUGGGGAUCUUCAACGGGGAACGGUCCAUCGUCCCUCAUGACUGCUUUGCCCUUAUCUUUGCGGGAGGGGCGGUCUGGUUCGAGCUUAGCGACCAACUGUCGAGCUGGGUCGUCUGCUUUCCCCUGCUGGUUAUUCGGGACAGUAUAGUUAUUCGCCGGUCGUUUGCGAUUUCGGCCCGGUGGUUCACGUAAACCUGCAUUUGGCGACAAGUCUAAUGUGAUUCUUCGUUGGCUGACUCGAGGCCACGCGAAGUCAGCCAUUGCGAUCAUGAAGUCGCCCUUAUUCUCAAAGCGAAUAUACCCGAGGUCAAGCCAGUCUUGAACUUGGUCUCUAAGCUGCUGGCAUUCGCUGGUUCUGUGUCCCCAGCUAUUAUGAAACUUGCAGUGAAUGCGCCCCUCCUUAUAUUCUAUGUAAGGCAAAGAAUUAGCCACUGUGACGAGCCCAUCGUCGAUGAGAUCGUCUAAAACCUCAUGUGCAAGAUCUUCGUUGUAGGUGUAUUGGCGACGUGGCCGACGGGUACUGUCGUCACCUUCCUCGCGGCCCCUUUUAGGUGCCUGGCGUCGAUCGUCGUCCUUGGUCUGAUUGGCCCAGUUUACAUCAACCAUGCCAACUACAGGCGGGAAAGGGUCUAUAUCAACCAAUGAGGCCAUACUACUCGGUGUUUUCAUCUUUAGCUCGCCUGAGUUCAGCCAUGUCUGCAGCUGGUCUCGAAGCUUGACACAAUCUUUGGUGUCAUGAUUGUAAACAUUGUGGAAGGCGCUGUACUUCUUGUCCUUCAACUCCUCCUUGGGCGGGAUCUUAUGAUCCAGGCGCACAUAUCUCGCCUCUAUCAGGUCAUUAAAGACCAGAUGGGCGUUCUUAGCAUCAUAGGUGUACGACUCGUAUUCUGGCUUGGUCCAUGCAAAGGACUGGAUGGUGAUUGGCUCACGUGUCAUCUUCUAGGUUUUUCAAUUUAUGAGCUAAUGGCUUGCCAGUCAAUUCUACUGCACCGAUGUCAUCCAGGUCCUGAUCCGUAUGAACUCCCUCAGGUCUUUGAUAAUAUGGAUCAUGAGUAGGGGUUUGUAUGUUUAGUNNNNNNNNNNNNNNNNNNNNAUUUGUUUUGUCGUCCAACUUGUUCAGGAUUAGCUCGUAGCUGCCGACUUUGUUAAUCAGGUCACCCAUGGAAUUAAAGCGCUCUCCAUGAUGCUUCAACCGCUGGCGGUGCUCCAGACCUCUAAUAGCCAACUUAAUGGCUUCCUGCUCAGGUAGCAGGUAAUCACACUUGGCUUGCUGGAUUUUGAAGCGUUGGAGGAAAGAAACUCCGGACUCCAUACUCUGCUGGCUCAUCUGUGUGAGGGAGUCGAGGACAACUUCAGGCUCAAUCGUGCCGUACGUUUCUCGGAAGAGUCUUUCCAUAGUGGGCCAAUCUGCUAUUGACUCAGGCUUCAAUCUGGAGUACCAGGUGAAAGCAGCCCCGGACAGAGAAGUCCCGAAGAGUUUGAGUUUGAGCAUAUCAUCAUUCCCGUAUUGGCCGUAUUGGACCUUAAAACGGGCCAUGUGUGUUGCUGCAUCUUCUCUUGUUUCCCCGGAGAAAGUGGUGAAGACAAUAUUCUUAAACCCAUGGGGGAAAGGAUAUUGUGCCACGCUAUCAGGAUAGGGGUCACGAUAAUGCAAGCUAACAUCACCUUUUCCGGUUUGCUCCUUGACUAUGCUCGAGAUAAGCUGGCGCCAAUUGGCUGCCGUUACCGGUGUGGCUUCUGCCCCCUGAUCGUGGUCGUGCCAUGCAGAGAGGCUAGGGGCCUGCACGAUGUUCUUAGGGGUCGAACUGGAAUAAGCUAUAACCGGGUCAUCUGGUGUCCCGAUCCCUUGAGAUGGGAAGACACCAGUGCUCCUGAGUGUGACUCCAGGGCCUCCCGGCGAGGGUAGACGGGGUGGCGUCUUUGACGAACUGGCCCCCAAUGUGAAUUGGGGAGUCUUCUGGGCCCCGACCUUGGAUUUCCUCUAGGGCGUUCAUUAGGUGGAAUAUACCUUGAGCCUUCAGUUGCACUUGAACUAAUAGCAUGAUUCUUUGGCGCCUGAGACCGCAUCCAGUCUUCCACUUNNNNNNNNNNNNNNNNNNNNCGAUACUCACUGUUCGAAGCGAGCAGAGCAACAAUUGGGAAAGAGAGGCGAGUCCAGACGGGCUCUGAGAUCUAAGGCGAGGUGCACUUAGAACUUAGGGUUUCGAGGAUGCUCGAAGAUUUGCAGUUGUUUUGUAUGAUUGAUUGUGUGUGUAGUGUGCUAAACCAGAUCCUCGAACUCUCUUAUAUAGCGAUCCGUAAGCAAUUCGCAGAGACCUAAUCACAAAUCCAUUCGGACUCAGCAAUUAGAAUUCCACCAGGAAACGACUAGCUCGCAAGCCGCGCGAUCCAUGCAACACGUGUCCAAAACAGACUUCGCCUAGGUCUCGCUCACCGCCCCGCAUCAUAUCACUGUAGCGUCGUACGCGAACUCGAGCACUAAGCGAUCCUAUCCCGCGGGUACUACAGUCCAUUUCCAACUCUACAUCGCCAUGCACUGUAGAAACCUACACGAACUAGAACAAAGGAUCCCGCGAGGACAUCGAAUCCCGCGAGGUAUUAGAAUAUUUGCAAAACUCCAACUCGCGUGUUGCCAGACUUCGCCACCCUUCGUGGGCUUCGCAUUAAAAAAGGGCCACAGGUACUGGCCCAAAUGUUAUCCAAAACCUACCCCGAGUCUUGGACCAAAAAUACCCACUGGGCUCAAACAUUAAGAAGAUUACUCAUUCUAGAAGAAUUCGAUUGAAUCUAGUCAUCUAGACCUGAUGAGAUGUAAGCGUAUGCUUCGUUCUUGUGUCCAGAUUGCUAAGGCAAAACCUGUUCUGCUCAGCUAGGUGAUCGAUAACAUUUAGGCUAUAGCUCAUCAUCAUCACCAUUAUCUAUCUUCCAUGACUUGUUCGAUCUGAAACCCUAGCUCGUUUCUUUCUCUAUUUGUCGUGAAUAUGAUCGAUAAUCCAUCGGUGGGUACUUAAUUUCUAGUCAUUGCAGUUACGUACUCAGCUGUACUCCUCCAACAACGACCUCCCUUUCAUUUUCAUUUCAAAAUCGUACGGCUUUGAUUCUGGCGGUGAUGAAGCCAAGCCACUACCUCAGAAAUCUGUCGCUGCAUGCUAGGUUUCCAUAUUCGGCAAACAACACAGGUUUCCUCAUUAGGUUUUAAAGUAAAGAAUGGCCAGUUUCUGCCAAUGAUGAACAUUAUUAGGGUUUAGGCUACAUGUGAUUGACCGUACCUCUGCAGAAUCAGCACCGCCGUCAACCACCGUACCCUAAGUCCCCUAACCCUCGCUUCUAGAAGCCGCUAUGGCCGUCAAGUCAGGCUUGAGGCUUCGACUUGUCUCUAAAGACACAGGCAUCCAAGUUUUCCAAUCUCUCUUAUAUUCUCCGAUGGCAAUUACGACAAACCGUCCUCGUCAGAUCACCACCAACCUUUACCUCCUCGGUCGUAUUCAUGACGACGGCGACGACCCCACAACCAAACAAAGAAGACAACAACUUUGACCAGGCCUGGUCGUAUAGUUAUAUACCGCUCAUACCCAGGAGAAAGCAAAGCGGUAUGACACGUCAUCAUUUUGUACCCAAAAACAGAUCCCACCACCAGACCCGUGAUUCAAUUUUUUUUCUUUCUUUUUUGUUCAAAUUUAAAAAAAAUUGGAGGGAAAGAGAUGAACAAGGUGCAGCUUUCAUUUCUGGGGAACUACUACAUUAGGAAACACGGUACUUCUCUUCUUUUAGUUUGUUUUUGCCUUUCUGAGUAUGUACAUGAAUUAUAAAAAGCACCGGCCGAGUUGUGCUUCAUGUCCCACCAACAACAGAUAAAAAAAAAAUACAGAGCAAAACAGGGGAAAAAAAAAAAACAGAAACUCUACUACUGUGGCUACUGCUGAUGCACAGAAUUUAUGCAGCAGCGACGACUGACA